Molecule: long non-coding RNA, 6209 nt
Organism: Meriones unguiculatus (Mongolian gerbil)
Lineage: Eukaryota; Metazoa; Chordata; Mammalia; Rodentia; Muridae
Exons: 5
Source: RefSeq, a predicted model, not a curated record
GGUCAAACAGGGAGCGGUAAGUUCCCUUCAGCUGGCUCAUAGCAGAGUCAACUGGGAAGUCUUGACGGCCCAGGUGCACAGGUGUGGCGUGGAACAAUUCCUACUAUAAGAAGCUGCAGACAACCCUCAAAGCCUGUCCAAGAGAGAAAGGAGUAAUGCCUGAAAGUGUUGGCUCAGAGACAAAACCCUGAAUUUAGGCCACAUGGAUGUCGCUUCAUUGUUACUGAAAGACAAAGGCUCGGCUCUCAUCAAACUUCAGCCGGCAGCAGCAACAACAUUCCGCCAGCUAAGCAGUCCCUAUGAGGGCCUCCCCGCUGAGAACCCAAGGCAGCAUCUGGCCCAAGAGUAGCCAGGCAAGCGCAUCAUGUGCCUAGACAUUUCCCCAGAGCUCGACUGAUCAUGAAGCAUACAAAGAACAACAAAAAGCCAACCAAUCUAUACCUCGAAGAAGGCACACUCAAGUAGCAGAGAAGGAAAAGAAGGGGUGACAGUGGCCAGCAAUGCUCAAAGGGAACACAGAGCAGAUGCAGCACUGACUAACUGACUGACUGACUCCAAGGAUGGGUGAAUGGAGAUUAAGUGUUCCGUGCAAAGCAGAGAGGACAUGGUGCGCUGUGAAGGAGACGGGAAACAGAAAGACUGGAGUAUGAAAGAGGAGGACACUAAGAGAAGGUAAUUUUAAAAGAACCAUCAGCAGUAAAAAGGAUUUACAAACAGCUAUAAUGGGCUAGGAUGGAGAUAAUCACCUGACCAUCUACCUACCCCUGGAGGGGGGAUGCUGAGUUAAGGCUGUGGACAUGCCAGCACAGUCAGGAGAUAAUAAGAACUCCCAGAAGAAGUGACAAAUCCUGGGCCUUGACUGAAAGAGUGGAGAAGGACUUACUAACCAGCCUCCGGCUCACCAAGUCCUGAAUGCCGACACUGUCUAUACGCCUAGGGAAUAUUCUAGCAUUCCAAACCAAGAGCAGAAAAGGCUCCCCCUCCACAUCUCCCCUAUUCCUGUGCCACUUCUCCCAGGACUGUUCUCCCAGGCCUUUUCAUCCGCCGCCAUCAGCUGGCAGUCACGGGGCAUGCACCUCUCAACUAAGCCUCACUGUAACUUUCGUGUUAGGCUUCCUCUCCCUGAAUACGCUCACAGAGAGCAAAGAUCCCUCCGUGAGCAUCUUCAGGGAGAGCAUGGGAUGUCUCCCAAAGCGUACACUCAAUCGAUGCUGGCUGGUUGAGGAGUGUUGAUAUAGAGAGAACAUCCCUAAAAAAGAGACACCCAGCUGCCAUCCUCUCCCAGCUCUCAGCACCUUCACCUUUCACUGCACUGGCAUUCACCGAUGCUGGUGAAAUUAAAAACACUCUCCCAUUUCCAAGCCUAAGACAGGGCCGCACUAAAGGGAAGUCACUAAAUAGUGACACUAGCCAUUUAUUUUCAGUAUUAACAUUUUGCUUUGUAACUGAAAACAUCUUCACUAUGGAUGCCCAAGGGCAAUGGGUUACCCACAGACUGAAUCACUCUCCUACCAGCACAGCUAAAACCUAAAGCUUUGCGAGCAUCUGCUUUUCACUGUCAGAGUCAGAGAAUACCAUUAGAUGAGAUAUGGCUUUAGCUGGCUACAGGGUCCAGGCAAUGAUGUGUAGAAAUAUUUAAAUCACCACAAAUAAACACACUAGGUUUUUCUGUGACAGGCUACGGUGACCUAAUGGACUGUUUUUCCAUGCGGGCAUGUUAAUUGUGGUUUCAUUCUAGGCUUACUAUAGAUGAAUACAUGAUGAGGACAGGGGAAGUCAGAUUGCUAACUCUGGCCUAAUCUAUCUCUGCAAAGGCAUAUUCCACAUGACUAGCUUUUAACUCCUAAAAGUAUUUAACUUAAUUAACCAUCACCGGUUAACCAAUAUUUUAACUACGUUCACUCACUGAAAAACUUUCCUAAAACUAAGUUUUCUGCCAUCUGGCAAGGUAGUAUCUACACUCGGGGAAAAAAAAAGUACUUAAAGAUCAGAAAUCAAUGAGACGCAGACCCAAAAGCCAUGUAGCAGGCACACACGGACUCCCUCAGAUUGUCUUCAGUGAGUGAGCGCCCUUUCGGGUUAACAUUUGGAUUUGUGUAUCAUUUGCUUAUGAAACAAAACUCCAUUAAGUAUUUUCAUGGCGAGCUGGGGAGGGAAGACUUUUUAAACGUAAUCACUCAUGUUUGAUUCAUUAGGCUGCCUGGGCACCAGCAGCACAGCUGGGAACGAGCUCAGCCGGAUUCUGUGCCCCCAGCUCUUUGCUACCACAUGACCUUGGAGGAGUCACGAUUUUUCUCUGCUUCAGUUUCCUUUGCAUACGACAAUCCCAAUAACGGGGCUGGAGCUCGAUUGAUUUGUUAGUUUGAUCUCCUAAAUUGAUGGUGAUGAUCAUUUUGGCAGAGAAGUAGAGUGUCGGGGGUGAUAAAUCUUAUCAAGGCGCACUGAGAUUUUUCAGGGCAAAAGUAACCACUGAAACAUACUAAAUGAGUCAGUGUUUCUGCCAAAUCCUUAUGUGAGGGAAGGACUCGGGGAGAGGCUCACAGCUCAAUGGCACUUGCUUUCCUGACUUAAGUGAUUUGGAAAUACAUCAUCCUGAGUGUUCUUUCUCAUGAAAAUCAAGUACAUAUGACUCUCACCCAUUGCAACUUCAGUUCCAGCAGGGGAAAGUUACUGCUAUCCUAUGAAACUGCCUGACGCCUGAGGACAGCCGACAUGCACGCUCUGUGCUGAGAGCAUUGUGGACCGGUACUGGAAUCCACACCACCGAAGGAAUCCCAGCUGAUUGUCUUCUUCCCAGAUUUUUUGAUGGAUUAUGAGAAACUUUGCCGGAAUAGCACAAUUAACAGCAAACCCAAAAGCCGGGAAAUAUCAGUCAAAGAAAACGUAACUACCUGAAUUACAACUGCCUCACGUGUGCACCUCAAGAUUUUUCAUCUGACUGAUGGCCAUUAGAGAGCUCACUCUCCAGGGUAUUUGCAAGGCUCUGAUUUGAUCUGGAGGGAUCUGGAGAGAAGGCAUGCAAGGAAUGGCAACAAUAUUCACAACUCAGCAUUCCCCCAAGGCAGGCGUCUAUACUCACAGCUGCUGCUCCACGAUUUUAACAAGGACUUUAUGCUAAUUUCAAAAAACAGAGAAUCCUGUAGGCUCAACAUUGUGUCUUGGCCGGCUGCAGAGGUAGUGGCAGGGGUGGCAGCCCAGCAGCCGCAGCAGCAGCAGCAGCAACAGCAGCAAUUCUGUGGCUCGCAGCCGCUGUCCUCUCGCAGGCGGCAGAGUUCUGGCCCACAGUCCCUUGGCUUCAUUAUCAUGCAGUCUCGUGGUGACGCACAACUAUAGUGGAAGCGCUGCUCAAUGCAGAUGAGGUACCCAGCUGAAUUAAAGCUUACAAGUUUAUUACAAGUGCCCUGAAGGACGCCCUCACCUUUCUUUAUGCAGACCUGCAUGUGGCCAGCCAGACCUGCCCUGUUUGUAUUCAGAUUGCCAGUUUGAGCAGCUUUUCAGCUCAUCUGUGCUGCCAGUGAACUGACACCUUCUGCUGCUCUCUGCCCUUCGAUGCCAACUUUCCUCGCAGGCAAAGGGCCUCAGAAACACAGGUUCUUAAGCUGAAUUAGAAUCUGGCAAAAGAUCUUUAAAGGUCUUCCUUUAAUAGCUGGUGUCCUCUUUGAAAGGGAGAAAAAAAAAAUCAGCAGCAGUUUCCUCGGGGAUCUGAGCAGUGCAUUCAUUCCACCCUGAUCCAUGCCCAGCUGUGGUUUACUCAGCAUGCUUAUGAUGAGAUAGAGUCCACAGGCCCACUUACCCCACUGGAGAUAAUGCUGCCUAAUGGAAUGAGGGAUGAUGUCAUGGACACUGGCUGAACCUCCACUGGCCUCUGAAACUGCUCAGCUCAGGACAAAGUUGUUUUCUGAUGCAUGCAACUUACUCUAAAGAGAUAACUGCCAGACCUGCUAACAGAUUCUAUGGAAGGAAGUGACCUAAACCCAUACAUUCAGGACACCACUGACAACCAAGGCUCAGCACUGAGACCUCAGCUGAUGAGUUGUACACAGCAUCUAGACAUUCUGCUGUGUUCUCGCUACCCGUCUUGGGCUGAGCUCACCCAAGAUUUAAAAGAAGCUUGCUACCAUUUGACCACAACACCCCGAGGAAGUGGAAUUCACUCCCAGUGAACCUUCAUUACUACACAAGAGUGGUAUAGAAAGUCACUUUGGUGACUUUGGGGAGCAAGGAGUAAGUAAUAGGUGAUUUUCUUAUAACUCUAAAAUUGGACUUUUUUUUUUUUUUUUCAUUUUUAAAUGUGUCUAUACAGCCAUAGCCGGUGGUGCACACCUUUAAUCCCUGCACUCAGGAGGCAGAGGCACGUGGAUCUCUGAGUUCGAGGUCAACCUGGUCUACAAAAUGAGUUCCAGGACACCCAGGGCUACACAGUGAAACUGUCUUGGGAAAAAUAAAUAAAUAAAUAAAACAGAAUUGUCUAUACAGAUAUAUAUAUAAAAAAAGUAAGCCAGAGUGUGAUUUACCUAAACAGGAUGAGAGGACCGGUUUGUGUGUGUGGUGUGUGUGUGAGUGUGUAUGCACACACUUAUUUCAGAAGCUUGCUGUAAAUACAGUGUAGGUAUAAAUGGCGCUUUCCGCUUAUAUCUAGACUAAGCUAGAAUACGGGCAGAGCCUGGUUCUAUCCAAACGUUAUUCUAAAGUACAAAGAACACAAUAAACAGUGUUAUUCUUUCAACUCCUGCUCACAAACACCAUAGCAAUACUUACUUAAUGGAGCAUUUCCUUUCUACAUCUUCCGAUGCUUUUAUUAUCCAAACUACCAAACUACUACCUGGAGAAAACACACACACACACACACACACAGCAAUCCUUUUAGAAGGCCACAGAAGAGUCCCACUGUAACCCAAUUCCUUUCUCAAUCCCGCAAUGACUAGCCCUCUUUUUAAAUUACAAAUAAGGACACUGCCAUUUUUCUUCAAGUAUUUUCUUGUUAAACUGCUAAUUAAUGACAACAACCAAGACAUAGCCUAAAACCUGUCAGUUUUUUAGAUUGCCAGAGAUGCCAGUUUUUCAUUUCAUACUUUACAAAUUCAGAAUCCUCUGACUUACAUACACUCAUGUACAGUUUCAUAUUGUUGCCACAAAGACAGCUACAGAUAUGGUUUCUAGAUGGUGCAGCCUCGGUAAAGCAGACAAGUAUAAUUCAGGACAUUGCUUAGCUAUACUCCUUACAUUUUAGACUGCAAUCAUGCCAGCUUCAGAAAUGUAAGAGAUACAUAGUUUCAAAACAGGUUAUUCCCAUUUGUCUCGAGACCCUUUUGCUGAAGACACCACACACAUUGGUCACAGGACAUGAAGAAAUCAAGUUGGGACUGAUAAAUGGCGAAGACAGUCAUCAACAGUCUUGCCCAGCUUGAAUCCUAUGAACUAUACUAAGGACUGGCCUAACAAGAUAUGCCAAUGGGUGCAGUAGUGGCACAAAUGUUACAGGGGUAAGCCAACCACUCUCUGAUUGGAUUUAAGGCUUUCUCUACAGAAGGAAAUAUGCCUAGUACUGCAACUCUGGCCACAGGGUUGAGGGGCUCACAGGCCACGGAGGAAAAUCUAUUACUCUGCUAAGAAGACGUGCUGUCAAGCUGCCCCCUAAAUUCAUAUCUUUAGACCCAUAGAAAUAGUAUAGCUCUCAAAACUGUCAGUUGCCGGCCACAAACCCGACAUCUAAUCACACCCCUCUCCCAAGGCUCGGGGACCAGUGUGGAAGAUGAGGCAGGAAGACUACGAGAGCUGGAUGUCAAGGAGGGUCAGAACAGAACUAUCUCUGGACAUGACGGAAGCAUGUCACUCAUGAACCUACAGCAGUUCUGGUUCACUAUGAAAGACCUACUCAAGAACAAGACAGUACAUUUCAGCAUUGAUGGGGGAGGGGCGCAGAAGCCACCCCACACACACACCAGCCCCUACCUGAGGAGCUAUCGACAGCUGAUGACUUCUGGGAAAGAAAGUGUCUGGAUUCUUUAAGGUGUGGCCCCUGGUAGACGGACCACACUCUUUAGUAGGUGGCCCCACGCCGGUGAGUGUGGACGGGCAGCACAAACUGAAUUCAGUGGAAUGCCAACAGAACCAACAGAAUAGGGACGCAAAGUUGGGAGGUGGCGGGGAGGAAGAUGUGGGCGGCACGGGGGAGGAGUGUGAAAUGACUAACACUCGCUGUAUGAAAU